This 2293-nucleotide long non-coding RNA is filed under the name Gossypium raimondii (Peruvian cotton). RNAcentral describes it as "long non-coding RNA (GRAI_LNC000554)". Lineage: Eukaryota; Viridiplantae; Streptophyta; Magnoliopsida; Malvales; Malvaceae. The record is from RNAcentral.
AAACUAAGAAAACCAAGUGUUUGAGUAAAUACUCUCAAAAUAUAUUCAAUAACUUUUUUUUGAUCAAGUAUAUUCAAUAACUUUGAAUGGAAUACAAUGGGAUGAUUACAAAUGAGGGGGAAACCCUCUAUUUAUAGUUGAGCUCCCCCAUAUCCAAUGGUGCAGAUUGAAUUACAUCAACGAUUGAGAUUAGUGUCUGUCUACAAGAUGAAAGUCCUAAGGGAUUUAAACUCUAUACAUCUUUAUCCCUUAGGAUUUACAAUAAUUGCCUUGGUAACUCUAGUUUUACUAGAGUGUUUCACUGGCCAGUUUCAAGUGGAUCAAAUGAGCCCCAUUUAAUCAAUUGACCUUCAUGAGAAGCUCUGUGUGCAUUCGUCACGGGCUUUGAUCCGCGGCCCGUGACAUAAGAAUAAACUCAUAAUUAAUUAAAUAAUAAUUUCUAAUCUUGUGGUGAUUAAUAUUAAGUUUCAAUCAUAUUUAUUGUUGACACAUUUAUAAAAUUUUAUAAAAAAAUUUUAAUUAGUGUAUAUUUUUUAUAAGAAAAAAAGAGAAGGGUUCAAAUUGACAAAAGUUGUAAAGGUUGAGUGGCUAAAUUAGUGAUUGUACCUAAUUUUUUAACAAAGUUAAUGAAAAAAAAUUAAUGAAGGGACUGGAAAUGAGCAAAUAAAAAAAAUAGAGAGACUAAUUUUGAGCAAAUAAAAGUAGAGGGAUUAAAUCCGCACAAAUUGAUAAGUACAUAGACUAUCAUCAAAAUUUAACCUAUAGUCUAAUAUGGUUCAAAAUUUAAUUAAGUGAUAAUAAUUGUAACACUAAUAAUAAAAAGUUAUUAAUAAAUUUAAUUUAUAUUUUAUAUAAAAAGUUAAAAAUAAUUAUAAUUAUUUUAUUUUAUAUUAAUAUUUUUAUCAUAUUUAUUUAAAAGAAACAUGAGAGUAAAAAGGUACCUACACGAUCAAAUUAAUUGUUGUUAUUUCUUGUAAUAAUUAAUGGUAUGCGUAAUACCUAUAUAUAAUUUAUCUAAGACGAUUUUAUUAUUUUUAAUUUAUUUAAUUAUAUUCAAUGAAUUAAUAAUUAAUUAAUAUUACCUUUGUUAUUAUUCCAAUAAUAUAUUAAUAAAUUGUUAUUAUAUCAAUUUAAUAAUAUAAUAAAUGAUAAAAAAUAUUAUCAUUAAUUCAAACUUUCUUCUCAACUCAUCUUUUUACGUAAGUUAUAAGGUUAAUAUUAAUUGGUAAUUAGGAUUUGGGGUUUAAAGUAAUAUUUUUUAAUCAAAAUUAAAUCAAAUCAAAUCAUUGCAAAACCUAAGGAAGAAAGAAUCACAUAAAAUUCAUACAUAAUAUACACAUAAUUACAAUAAAAGCUAAACAAGAAACGAAUACGAUACUCUUACCCAAUAAUGCAAAACCUUCAUUGGCUUCUGGUUCCCUAGAAUUUGUUUAGUGUUUAUGAAUGUAUGAUGUUAUUCAAGAAAUCAUUAAAAAAAAGGAGUGAAGUGACAGUUGUAAUCUGUGCUUAGAGAUCAAAAUGUAUUGGUCCCUUUGCCUUGUUGGGUGGUGGGACCAUGCUUCAAGUAUCAACACUUUCAACUAAUUGAUACGAGCUCAAUUGUUGUUGCUUCGAGUCGUAUUAGUUUGUCCAAUCAUGAAUUUGGGGUAAAACUUGGUUCGUUUCAUGAGGGAUGGAAAAAAUAGAAGGUAGGCUUCAAAUAAGGUUUAAAAGGAAGCUGGUUAAACAAAGGAAUGGAUAAUUUGGCCAAACCCAGAGAAUGAACCAAAAAUAGAGUGAUUGUUGGCCUGAGUCUCAAAGUAGCUCUUUGGUGAAUUUCGAUUUAGAAAAUCAACAAAGAACCUUGACUCGUUAUUAAAUGUGAUAGGAACCAAAGGUAUAUGAACGCCACACUAGAAAUGAUAAGUUCGGGUUAACAAAGGAAAGAAUGACGCCACAAGACAACUUGAUAAGUCAAUUCAGUCCCGAAAAAAACAAGGAGAAUUGGAAAUCUCACAAGUUUCAAUUGAUUCAUAAAAUUGGUAAAAAGUCCCUACAACAAGAAAUUAGCUAAGUAUUUAUAGCUAGAAAUCUAUGCUAGCCGAAUAGACACAUGGGCAACUAAAUGGACAAAUGUUUUCAGCUUUAAUGAGCUGAAACUUCUUGGAAAGUUCCUAGCAGCUUCCUUGAAGUUUCCUUGAGCAUGGAGGACGUCAAUAGUUAGCUUCUAGAUGCCUUGAUUCAGCUGAAAAUUAAUGAAGUGAUUGAGAGCUGAAUUGACUUAAUUAGGUUCGGCCCAAGGGUAUGAACCAUC